This is a long non-coding RNA of Marmota flaviventris (yellow-bellied marmot), 673 nucleotides long. RefSeq lists it as uncharacterized. The record is from RefSeq and is a predicted model, not a curated record. NCBI's taxonomy places the organism in Eukaryota, Metazoa, Chordata, Mammalia, Rodentia, Sciuridae.
GUACCCCUGUGCCUGUCCUGAGCGCGAGCCCUGCUGCGUCCCGCUGGCGUUCCUUCGGCUUGUGUUGAGCUCCCGGCCGGGAACGCCAGUCCAGCGUGGAGUGCGUGACCCCUGGUGUCCGGAGGGCUUUCCGGAUCUUCGGCGUCACCGCAGCGCUGCCUCGAUGGCACCGCCACGGCCCGCCUGGGCUCCAGGCCGAUUUUCGAGACCGGAGGCCUAGGCUUGGCCGGAGCGGCCCGGUGCGUCCCCGCAGCGCCUGCACCCUACGGCCUGGCACGUGCUGGCCUUCGUGUCCUGUUGAAGCCAAGCCACUUGGUGCGACGUCGUCUUCAGACUGUGAUAGGGAGGCUCAGAGGAAGCUUCUGUCCCAGCCUACCUGGUUGCAGCCUUGCAAGGGCUCAGCUGGGACUGAAAACUGGGGAGUUGGUGCAUGGACUCCAGGCAGAGGGAUGUGGUGCUGUGCCCUGCAGCGGUGGGUGCUGAGAGUACAAGAACGAGCAGAGCAAAGCCAGGCACGAUUCCUGACCUCCAGCAACUUCCAUUCUGACCGAAGACUGUCAUUACAGAACUAACUGCAUGAAUACAACAGAAUCAAUUACUUGCAAUUUGAAAAAGGUGUCGAAGAUUGGAAAAAUUAAGCAGAAUUUGUGACCAUGAACGCUUUGUUUCAGUG